Haliotis rubra (blacklip abalone) is the source of this 141-nucleotide long non-coding RNA. RefSeq lists it as uncharacterized. The transcript is spliced from 3 exons. NCBI's taxonomy places the organism in Eukaryota, Metazoa, Mollusca, Gastropoda, Lepetellida, Haliotidae. The record is from RefSeq and is a predicted model, not a curated record.
CUAAAACGACAAUAGACCCGUGCCGAUCCGGGUGAGAAUUAGUCAUUUGCAACCCAUGCUUGUCGUAAGAGGCGACUAACGGGAUCGGGUGGUCAGGCCUCCUGACCUGGUUGGCACAUAUCAUCGUAUCCCAACUGCGUA